AGUGAACGCUGGCGGCAGGCCUAAUACAUGCAAGUCGAACGGCAGCACAGUGGAGCUUGCUCCAUGGGUGGCGAGUGGCGGACGGGUGAGGAAUACAUGGGAAUCUGCCCAGUCGUGGGGGAUAACGUAUGGAAACGUACGCUAAUACCGCAUGCGCCCUUCGGGGAAAGUCGGGGACCGCAAGGCCUGACGCGAUUGGAUGAGCCCAUGUUCGAUUAGCUAGUUGGCGGGGUAACGGCCCACCAAGGCGACGAUCGAUAGCUGGUCUGAGAGGAUGAUCAGCCACACUGGAACUGAGACACGGUCCAGACUCCUACGGGAGGCAGCAGUAGGGAAUAUUGGACAAUGGGCGCAAGCCUGAUCCAGCCAUGCCGCGUGAGUGAAGAAGGCCCUCGGGUUGUAAAGCUCUUUUGUUGGGGAAGAAAAGACAGUUGGUUAAUACCCGAUUGUUCUGACGGUACCCAAAGAAUAAACACCGGCUAACUUCGUGCCAGCAGCCGCGGUAA
RNAcentral lists this ribosomal RNA (506 nucleotides) under uncultured bacterium. RNAcentral describes it as "bacterial SSU rRNA". It matches the Rfam family "Bacterial small subunit ribosomal RNA", at positions 29 to 523 of the family's 1533-position model. The record is from RNAcentral.